This 66-nucleotide transfer RNA is filed under the name Ostorhinchus novemfasciatus (sevenstriped cardinalfish). RNAcentral's name for it is "tRNA-Cys". The record is from RNAcentral. Lineage: Eukaryota; Metazoa; Chordata; Actinopteri; Kurtiformes; Apogonidae.
AGUUCCGAGGUGUUUCACACAUUAGAUUGCAAAUCUAAAGUAGCUGGCUAACCCCAGCCGGAACUU